This is a long non-coding RNA of Sciurus carolinensis (gray squirrel), 967 nucleotides long. RefSeq lists it as uncharacterized. NCBI's taxonomy places the organism in Eukaryota, Metazoa, Chordata, Mammalia, Rodentia, Sciuridae. The record is from RefSeq and is a predicted model, not a curated record. The transcript is spliced from 2 exons.
CAAAAUAAGGACCAAUUAAAAGAAAAAGAAAAUGAAUGUAAUAAAGAAGUGAAAAAGAAACUUGAAAUAUCUGCUACAAAAUCUGAUGCAGAAUUAAGUACAAGAAAUAAGUUUAAUCAGUUUUCUACUAGUGAUAUGACAGAGAACAAGCUAUGGCAUGAAUAUAAUGGGAUGAAGAAUAGCUCCAUGAUGAGACUGGAAAGAGAAAUAAAUAUUAAAAUAAAAUAUCAGAACCAGAAAAAGAAAUACCUUGAUACUACUGGAACUUUAAGAGAAAAGAGCAAUGACCCUCAAAGGAUACACAGACUGAAUGAGGAAACACUUACAAAAACAACAUUCCAGCAUAAUGAACAGUUUGAUAUUCCAAAAGUGGAAAAUCCAAUGCAAAAUUUUAUACUGGAGAGUGAGAAAAAAAUGCAGAAAAAGUGGAAACAGAAGUCAAAUCAAACCCUGCGACACUGGCUGCUGCCCCAUAUCAUUGUGUUGAAAGUCAAACACCAAAAAGACAUCUAGAACUUGCUUUCCAAGAGCAAGAAAUAAGGGCUUUACUUCACAGGAAAAGAAGAAUUUUGAGGUAUAUAACUUAAAAGAUAGUAGUGAUAUUCCUUCCCAACAAGAUUUGAAGUCUGAAAUAAGAAACAGUGACCUCGAAAAUGAGAUUGAUCAGAAAAGAGAUACCCUCAGAGUAAGGACUUUGAUUUCAGAACAAGAAAAAAGACUCCUAAAACAGAGUGCCAAAUGAAGGGGAUGGAACACAAGUGUCAAAAUGAACAAAGGAAAAUGAGUGAAUACAUCAGAGAGCAGAAAUCUUAUAGAAAGGAGAGAUUAUCUAAAAUCCAAAGUAAAAUUACACUGCUUCAGCAGCAAUUGCAUGACCUUCACAACAGAGAUGAAAAUCAAAACAAUGCAGUGAUUAAUUUCCAAAAUGAAUUUCAUGAUAUUAUAAAAUUUCAAGCUCAGAUUGAAA